UCCAGAGCGAGCAAGGAUCCCGGUGGGCUUCAUCCAGUUCUUGUCUCGCGGACGGCAGAUUCAUACGAUGCGAGCGACCGCACAUCCACCGACAUGGUCGCCCCACUGGGCGAUGCCAAGGGGACGGGGGGCCGAAGCGUCGGCUGCGAUUAGAAUCCACUUCCGGUGAUUUAGCACGUAGUUAAUCGCAGUUGCUGCAGGCAUUAAUCGCAAUUGAUGUUCGCCACUCUUUCCGGCGUCCGAUUAGUGCAGGUCCAUCAAUUGAUUCUUAUUCAGUUUCUUCCUUUAUGUGAUUCAUCUUCCUCCCUUAUUAGAUGCGCGAGGACGCUCACGAUUCUGGUUCGGUUUCUCCCUUUAAUCGUUGCGUCUCUAUAUAAUAUCCACCCACCCUGCUACUGCUCAUUCCCCAACCUUACUUGGCAACAUCAAAUCUUCUGGCCAUGCUUCUCGCCAAGUUGCCUCCGUAGGAUUAUCGCCCCUCCUUCCUCACAUCUUCCAUCCAGUUACUACUGAUACCGAGUCCCUUCUGAUUGAUGCCGCUUUCUUCUUUUGCUCCCAAUUCACGACAGACACUUGUUCUGCUGCAGUUGCUCUUACAUCUCUCAGUUGAUGUAUUGGAAUUGCCGACAGAUUCUGGUGGUUAGUUCAGGCACUUCUAAAGCUCACGAUUUGCAAUGGUUGCCACCAAGGGCAUUGCGGUCCACCGUGCACUGUGCACUUCAUCAUGUCUGAGGGUGCCAUCAGAUCUCCAACCAAUUGGUAUACUGUCCGUAUACUACUGAUGUACGCGGUUAUGUCCGACUUAAAAAAAAUGUGAAACUGCACUCUGUACUCUAAGCGUCUUCCUCUAUACUUAUACGGAUAAUAUACGUGAACAUGUUUAAUUGUUGGGAUAAGAAAGUUUCAGUUGAUUGUAACCGCUUCUUCAUCAUAGAAAAAGACAGACCAUAUGUUACUUCAGUCCACGUGGGGAUUUUAUUAAUGCUAUUGUAGCUUCGAAUUGUCUA
Molecule: long non-coding RNA, 1007 nt
Organism: Aegilops tauschii subsp. strangulata
Lineage: Eukaryota; Viridiplantae; Streptophyta; Magnoliopsida; Poales; Poaceae
Source: RefSeq, a predicted model, not a curated record